GGGAUUAAUGACCUCUUGUCAUUUGAUUUUAUGGACCCACCAUCGCCUCAAGCACUCAUAUCUGCCAUGGAACAACUAUACAGUCUUGGAGCAUUGGAUGAGGAGGGGCUUCUAACCAAAUUGGGUAGAAAAAUGGCUGAAUUUCCACUGGAUCCACCAUUAUCAAAGAUGCUUCUGGCCAGUGUUGACCUAGGGUGCAGCGAUGAGAUUUUGACAAUCAUAGCAAUGAUUCAGACUGGGAAUAUCUUCUACAGACCAAGGGAGAAGCAAGCUCAAGCGGAUCAGAAAAGAGCCAAGUUCUUUCAGCCAGAAGGUGACCACUUAACAUUACUUGCUGUAUAUGAGGCUUGGAAGGCUAAAAAUUUUUCUGGGCCAUGGUGCUUUGAGAACUUCGUGCAGUCGCCUUCCCUUCGGAGGGCACAAGAUGUCAGAAAGCAGCUUCUUACUAUUAUGGACAGGUAUAGUUUCUGCACUUUGACCUUUUGAUUUAUCUAUUAUUUUGCUUUUUGACUUGUACUGGUCAAUUGUUAAUGGUCCAGAUAGUAGUGAUGUCGGUUGUCAUUCCUUGUUGCAUGCACUAUAUAGAUUAUCUGCAUAUUUUCAUGUGCACAUGCAUCUUUGUGUUAUUGUAUUAUCUAAGUGGUAUAUUGCAUAUGCUGCAACUGUUUUAUGUUUCAUAUUCACUCGUGCUGUAUGUUAAGUUAUUAUAUGUAUAUUUUCUGCCUCUACUUUUGUGUUUUGUAUUGUGCAUGGUAUCGAUUAUUUUUGUUGCAUUUUUAGUGUGUGUUUUAGAGUAUCAUUAAAAAAUAAUAGAGUGCAUUUAAGUGCUUCCUUGUUUCUUAUAUGUUUCAGUUAUGUUUCCAUGGUCUUCACUUGAUUCCAAGUCGCCUUAUGCAUCGAUUACCACUAACGAAUGUCCCUAGUUCUUGAAAAGCUAUAAUAAUUAGUGGUCAUUGGUUUUACAUUUUUGUCUCUGUUAAUUUCACAUAUUAUCCUAAAACAUAUCCAGUAUGGGAACUUGAGACUUAUUUAGACUGUGGUCAUGCCAUUAUCACUUGUAACUCUUAAAAGAAUUUGAUAACCUAUCACUGUCAAACCCUUAGCAGCCAGAAUCUUCUACAGAGGCUUCAUCUUUCUCGAGUCUUUUUUGAACCUACUCAUGUAGUUGCUCCCUUGGCACAUGCUUUGUUGAACGCUUUGCUUAUGUGCUUUGCACUAGUCCACUAAUUCAGGUACCUAACCACGACCUUGAUGGAACUGUAUUUAAACUUUAUUUAGAUUUCUAGAUGAUUAAUGACAAUAGAGCCACUUUCAUCAAGUUGUGAUGGAUGGAGAAGAUAUCUGGCUGUAUUUAGGAAGUUCGUGAUUUGCAUAAUUGGGGUACUGAAUCUUGCCAACUAGCAUGUAAAGAGGUUUAGGAGGCCAGUAGAGAUGGGAGAGAUUAAAUUGAGUCCAUUCAGUAGAAAGUAGGAGAGCUGGUGCUCAGAGGGGCCUCGGAGGG
RNAcentral lists this long non-coding RNA (1501 nucleotides) under Elaeis guineensis (African oil palm). RNAcentral describes it as "long non-coding RNA (EGUI_LNC016354)". The record is from RNAcentral. Lineage: Eukaryota; Viridiplantae; Streptophyta; Magnoliopsida; Arecales; Arecaceae.